GAUGAACGCUGGCGGCGUGCCUAAUACAUGCAAGUCGAGCGAACAGACGAGGAGCUUGCUCCUCUGACGUUAGCGGCGGACGGGUGAGUAACACGUGGAUAACCUACCUAUAAGACUGGGAUAACUUCGGGAAACCGGAGCUAAUACCGGAUAAUAUAUUGAACCGCAUGGUUCAAUAGUGAAAGACGGUUUUGCUGUCACUUAUAGAUGGAUCCGCGCCGCAUUAGCUAGUUGGUAAGGUAACGGCUUACCAAGGCGACGAUGCGUAGCCGACCUGAGAGGGUGAUCGGCCACCCGGGAACUGAGACACGGUACAGACACCUACGGGAGGAAGCAGUAGGGAAUCUUACGCAAUGGGCGAAAGCGUGACGGAGCAAAGCCGCGGGAGUGAUGAAGGUCUACGGAUCGGAAAACUCUGUUAUUAGGGAAGAACAAAUGUGUAAGUAACUAUGCACGUCUUGACGGUACCUAAUCAGAAAGCCACGGCUAACUACGUG
Molecule: ribosomal RNA, 497 nt
Filed under: uncultured bacterium
Lineage: Bacteria
Description: partial 16S ribosomal RNA
Rfam family: Bacterial small subunit ribosomal RNA
Source: RNAcentral